RNAcentral lists this long non-coding RNA (1239 nucleotides) under Piliocolobus tephrosceles (Ugandan red Colobus). RNAcentral describes it as "lncRNA (ENSPTEG00000017092.1)". Lineage: Eukaryota; Metazoa; Chordata; Mammalia; Primates; Cercopithecidae. The record is from RNAcentral.
AGCAAAGAAGACUAAAGGGGCAAAAUUCUAGAGAGUGGUAAAAAGAAUGCAGCUCUGGGGGCCCUUUCCACUUCUGACUAUAGGAAAGAACCUGAAUACUGAACUUGGUUCAGGCAGAGGGCCAUAACCUGGGGGUCAGGGGAAGGCAUGGGGGGACCAGAAACCGGGAGAACAAUCAAGACUGCAGUGUAAAGAAUGAAUACAUUAGGGGCUUCAAACACAUAUAAUUUCUCAAAUUUCCAGAUGUCUCAUGCUGCAUAGGGCAGGAUUCUGAAAAGCUAAUUUGAGAAUAUAAUAAGUAGGAUUUUUGUUUUGUUUUGCAUUUGGCAGUAUGAAGGAGAAAUGAUUAAAACUUAGGAAGUGCCAGUGGGUUGGUCCUUUGCUUAACAUGCCAUCAGUAAAAGCCCUGGAAACAAGGUCAUACUAGAGAUUGAUUGUGCUUGUCACAACUGCAAACAGUACCUGAGUGGAAUAUUCAAAAACUUGCUUAGAAAGAAAACUCUAGGAACAGAUGGCUUCGCUGAACUGAUUCCAAAUAUUUAAAAGUAAUACCAGGCUUUUAUAAACUUUUCUAGAAGAAAAAAGAUGGAACUUUUCCAUUCAGUUUUUGAGGCCAGUACAACUUUGGUACCAAAACCUUAAAAAAAAAAAAAAAGAAAAGAAACAAACAAACAAACAAACAAAAAACAAAACCAUAAAGCUAUAGAUCAAAGUCUUACAGAUUUAGAUGCAAAAUCCUAAAACUGAAAAAAAUGUCUAGCCAUAUCCAUAAACUAUAUCAUCACCAAGAGAUGUUUAUUAGGGCAAUCAAAAGAUGAUUUAUUAUUUUUUUUAAAUGUGGCCUUCCAUUCCUCUUUCUUUUGAUUCCCCUCUUUGAGUUUUCAUGUGUCUCUCCUGACUUCCUUCCCCAGAGUGGAGGAGUUAGACUUGCCUCGUGGGAUGAGAGGAGUUGUGGCCUUGUUCCUGCUGGCACCAAGAGGGCUGACGGUGAGAUAUACCUUUGGAGUCCAACCCUUCUGACCAUCCAGAGUCAAGCACAAUAUUCCUGAGAAAAUCUCAAACAGAUGGUGAGACAACAUUGUCUUUUCUGCCAAGAAAAAGAGUGAAAACUCUUGUUGUUUGAUCAGAUGUAUUAUAGAAAGUAUUUAGAAACUUGUAUUGGUUUGAUUUUUUAUACUUUUCACAUAUUUACUUGUCUUAUUUUAAUAUGUUAUAUACUUUUUCUUAAUUGUUACUGUG